CCUACGGGAGGCAGCAGUGAGGAAUAUUGGUCAAUGGCCGGAAGGCUGAACCAGCCAUGCCGCGUGCAGGUCAGUGCCCUAUGGGCGUUAAACUUCUUUUGUGCGGGAGCAAUAAUGGUCACGUUUGGCCAGACGAGAGUACCGUACGAAUAAGCAUCGGCUAACUCCGUGCCCGCAGCCGCGGUAAGACGGGGGAUGCCAGCGUUAUCCGGAUUUAUUGGGUUUAAAGGGUGCGUAGGCUGUGAGGUAAGUCAGCGGUGAAAUGCCCCGGCUCAACGGGGUGAAGUGCCAUUGAUACUGUCUUGCUGGAAUGCGGAUGCGGUGGGAGGAAUGUGUGGUGUAGCGGUGAAAUGCAUAGAGAUCACACAGAACACCGAUUGCGAAGGCAUCUUACGAAUCCGCGAUUGACGCUGAUGCACGAAAGCGUGGGUAUCAAACAGGAUUAGAUACCCGAGUAGUC
Molecule: ribosomal RNA, 460 nt
Filed under: uncultured bacterium
Lineage: Bacteria
Description: partial 16S ribosomal RNA
Rfam family: Bacterial small subunit ribosomal RNA
Source: RNAcentral